AUGGCACCAACAGGAGUUUCAAAACCACCCUGGUGGCGGGGCCUCCUCCACCUCCUCAGCUCGGGGCAGAGCAGUGAUGGCGGCUGCCAGCUGGGUUGGGAGGUUGAGCAGGGCAAGGAGCCCAGUCAGUUGGAGCUGCUGCAGCCUCCUCAGCCCCAUCCUCCUCCGCCGCCUCCCCAGCCGCUGCAGGAAGAGGUGGUGGCAGCAGCGUCCCCUAUGGACAACUGGUUCCUGAGUCUGGACUUGCCCACUUAUGUCCUGUACAGGUUCAGAGCAGAAUGGGCUGAAAUAGAUCCAGUGCUGCAGAAUGAUGGCCCCAAUCCAGUGGUCACGAUCACUUAUAGUGAGAAAUUUCAGGACAUCUAUGAUUAUUUCCGGGCUGUCCUGCAGCGUGACAAGAGAAGUGAGCAGGCUUUUAAAUUAACCAGAGAUGCUAUUGAGUUAAAUGCAGCCAAUUACACAGUGUGGCAUUUCCGGAGAGUACUCCUAAAGUCACUUCAGAAGGUUCUACAUGAGGAAAUGAACUACAUCUUUGCAAUAAUAGAGGAGCAGCCCAAAAACAAUCAAGUUUGGCAUCAUAGGCGAGUGCUGGUGGAAUGGCUGAGAGACCCGUCACAGAAGCUUGAGUUUAUUGCAGAUAUUCUUACUCAGGAUGCAAAGAAUUAUCAUGCCUGGCAACACCGACAAUGGGUUAUUCAGGAAUUUAAACUUUGGGAUAAUGAACUGCAAUUGUAGACCAACUUCUUAAAGAGGAUGUGAGAAAUAACUCUGUCUGGAACCAAAGAUAUUUUGUAAUUUCUAACACUACAGGCUAUAAUGAUCGUGCUAUAUUGGAGCGAGAAGUCCAGUACACUCUGGAAAUGAUCAAACUAGUCCCACAUAAUGAAAGUGCAUGGAAUUAUUUGAAAGGGAUUUUGCAGGAUCAUGGUCUUUCCAAAUAUCCCAAUCUGUUAAAUCAAUUACUUGAUUUACAACCAAGUCACAGCUCUCCCUACCUAAUUGCCUUUCUCGUGGAUAUCUAUGAAGACAUGCUAGAAAACCAGUGUGACAACAAGGAGGACAUUCUUAAUAAAGCAUUUGAGGUUAAAAAAAAAAAAAAGCUGUGGUACAUAUACACAAUGGAGUAUUACUCAACCAUUUAAAAGAAUACAUUUGAAUCACU
Capra hircus (goat) is the source of this 1162-nucleotide RNA transcript. It is a transcript of the gene named protein farnesyltransferase/geranylgeranyltransferase type-1 subunit alpha pseudogene, with no coding region annotated. The record is from RefSeq and is a predicted model, not a curated record. The transcript is spliced from 2 exons. NCBI's taxonomy places the organism in Eukaryota, Metazoa, Chordata, Mammalia, Artiodactyla, Bovidae.